GAAGUAAAAAAAAAAAAAAAAAAAUGAAAAAUGAAAAAAAAAAAAAUGUUAAACCAGACAUAAAACGAGCCCAUUGUAAUCCCCCUAAGGAAGUGGAUACGUUCUCGGCAUCUCGGACACCUGCUAUACACGUAUAUUCGGUCUGCGGCCGUGUAACGUACACGAAAGGAAAAAAAAAAUGUAUAUAUAUAUAUAUAUACUCGUAGGCGCAUAAUGAAUUUUCAUGUUAUAUUUAAAUCGCGAUGAAAAAAAAUUAUCCGUUCCCUCCGACUUUUCGAACGCGAAUUGUAACGGUAAUUAUUUCUUAUCGAAAUACACCGUUCAUAAUCUAAUAUAGGUUUUCGAUGCGAAUUCAAAUGUAAAAUGUCCACAUAUUACAGAUCCGCACACGUUGUGUAUAGAACGUAAAAUAUCUGUUAACGCCAUAAACGGCCGUCGUUAUGUCGGACUGGCUGAACACUACUUCUUCGCGGAUUAGGUUAAAAUCGAAUUGGCGACGAUUCGUUUUGUUUUAUUACGGUCAACCGGUGACGCGAAAAUGUUUCGGCCGGACGGGCGGACAUAAACGCACUCGGGUUGAAGUGGGGUUUUUUUCCGGGAGUUCCGGGGUACUUAAAUAUGCGUGUGUUGUGUCUGUUUUCAAAAUGUCAAACAUUACGGGUGGGGGGAGGGCCGGUAUUCGCAGUACAACUUGCGUUUCAAACGGAAACACCUAUAGAAACACCGGCCAA
Non-coding RNA from Cinara cedri, 731 nucleotides. Lineage: Eukaryota; Metazoa; Arthropoda; Insecta; Hemiptera; Aphididae. The record is from the annotation of a GenBank genome assembly.